Molecule: RNA transcript, 2700 nt
Organism: Helianthus annuus (common sunflower)
Lineage: Eukaryota; Viridiplantae; Streptophyta; Magnoliopsida; Asterales; Asteraceae
Gene name: probable beta-1,3-galactosyltransferase 2
Exons: 5
Source: RefSeq, a predicted model, not a curated record
GCUGACACUUGGCAUAGCUCUGGUUUGAGGAUUGAAGAGGCUUCUUAUGUACGUUUUUAUUACAUCGUAACCUUCAUUCUAACAUUUAACCCUAAUUAUCAUUCUCUCUCUCUGAAGAUCAUCGGUGACGACCACCAUCUUACCUUUCUCUCAUAAGUUUUCCUUUUAUCACCAUUAAUAACCCUAAAUCUCAUCUAAUCCUUCUCUCAAACAUCAUCGGACGAAAUCAAAUCCAUCAUCGCUACUUUCUUCUUCUUCUUCAUCAAUUGCAGUAGUGAUAAUAGAGAUCGUGGAUCAUCUGGAUUGCCUACGCUACCGGCGAACGAAAACGGACAUCUUAAACCUCAUCCGUCGCAACAAAAUCCGUCUGCGAAGUUGCUGACGUUGCCUACAAUUUUGACUAUUGCUCGAGUCGCAUCUGUUCCUCUUCUGAUUAAUAAUAUGUUUUUCUAAAAUUAGGUCAACAUUUUUAAUCAAAUAUUUCAUUAUUUAAUUUGAAUGUGAUGUUGAAUCAUGUUACCUUUGUGAGUUGAAUUUUGAAUCUCGGUACUGUUUGAUCAUUAAUCAAUUCAUUAUUUGAUUAUGUUAUUAGGAUUACUUUUCAGUUACUGCUAUUCUUUUAAUAUGAAGGGAAGCAUCUUUAAUUUCUGUCAUACUAUUAAUAUUUUUCUUCUCCAGGUUAGUUUUGUAGCGCUUUGACUAUUUUAAAGUGUUGCUGAAAAUGGUUGUUUGUAGGUGAUAAAGCAGCCAUCUGGUACUCGGCAGUCAGAGAAGGCUCUUACACGUAGGCUUCUUUAGAUUGUUGGUAUGGUAGAUCACUUUUAUAAUUGUCAUGUUAUUUGGGAUUAUUUAAUCAUACAUUUAAGAUGAUGCUUUUUGCAAAUUUGAAAUUUUUCGGGUAUCAAACAUGCUAAUUUGCUGGAUAUGCCAACAUAUAGUAUAAGAAACUGCAGUUCUAGAAGUAAUACGGCUUUUAGCAGCCGAAAGAGAACAGACUCUGUACGCGCUACAUGGAUGCCUCAAGGUUGUUUUCCCUUCUGCCUUUUUAGCUAAUGCACAUGACUAGGUGUUUAGAGAUCAAAACUUUUGUACAUGUCGGGGUUGGGUUUAGGUUAAGCUGAACACCUUUGUCUAAUAAAAAAUAUUGUUUCUAAGUAAAAAGGUUUAUGAGGUUUCGUGGUGAAUUCUAUUCUAUUUUUAUACAAACUCUAGGUGAUAAACUGAGGAAAUUGGAGGAAGAAACGGGUAUCAUUAUGCGCUUUGUCAUAGGUCACGGGUAGGCAUCACCUAUUUCACCAUCUUCCUGUUAUGCAUAAAAGCAUGAGAAUAUAAAGGAGCUGAUUGUGUUGACCUUUGACUUUUAUCAUUGCAGUGCUACAUCUGGUGUAGGGAUGACAAUCAAACCCGAACCCGCUGGGUAAAAACCCGAAACCCGACAUAUUUGGGACGGGUUUGGGAAUAGUUUUUAUUUUUUUCGCGGGUUUGGGACGGGUUUAGGAUUUGGUGAUAUACCCGGUUACCCGACCCAAUUACCCGAUAAAGUGUACUUGUUUACCCGAUUGUAUACCCGAUAUAAUUUCUUUUAUAUUAUUAAAUAUGUAUCUAUGAUACAUCCAUUUUUUUACACAUAUUGGUAUUUCCGUAUACAUUGUAGUUAUUUGAUAUAAAUUUUUAUAAUGACAAUAAAAAAUGUAAUCGGUUAGUAGUUACCCGAUAGAUACCCAAUGGGUUUUGAGAUGAGUAUACCCAACGAGUAAUCUUUUUAAAUUAACGGGUUUACCCGAAACCCGCGGGUAUACCCGAUACCCGGUGGGUAUUUACCCGCUAGAAACCCGACGGGUUUUGGGACGGGUUUGGGACAAGCUUAUCUAAUCGGGUUUGGGUUUGGGAUUACCUAAACCCGCCCCAAACCCGAUCCAUUGCCAUCCCUAAUCUGGUGGUAUACUUGAUAGAGCUAUUGAAGCAGAAGACAGAAAGCAUGGAGAUUUCUUGAGACUUGUAAAAAUACAAUCUUUUUUACUACACCUUUUUUUUUUUAUCUUGAGUCUUGAUUCAAGAGUUUGCUGACUUACAUGGUAUGUGAGUAGGAGCAUAUCGAGGGGUACCUUGAAUUAUCAGCUAAACAAAAACAUAUUUUACGAUCGCUGUUGCUUUAUGGGAUGCAGAUUUCUAUGUCAAGGUUGAUGAUGAUGUACAUGUAAAUAUAGGAAGAAAUAGAACAAGAUUGAACUUGCAGAUGCUUUGGCACUAAAACUUCUCCAAAGAUAUAACUACUCUGUCACGGCAAUGAAACUAGAUAACAUCGACUCAUUUAUCCGAAGUUGGUGAGUCUUAGGUGCAAGUUGGGUUGCUGACAGGAAAGCUAACUGAAGUAAGCAUGAUGCUGUGUGCAAAAGAAAUGCUACUGAGGCUACUCAUCAAACAUCUGCAAAGCCAAAUCGUUGAUAAAGUGGAAGUAUUUAUUAAGAUCAUCAAUGGAGAGAGGUUCAUCAAUGAGGCGCCUAAGGCGCUUGUGCUAAAAGCCGUAUUAAUUCCUACAACCAUCAAACAUAUGUUAUUGUACUUGUGUUUAGAUUAUUUUUUUCUUUUUUAUCAUUUUUUAUUGUUUUCAUGUUGCUUUAGCGGCAUGUAAAAAUUAAUCCGCUAAUAGUGUUUCUUCCAAUGUAUGCGUUUUCACAGAAUAAUAAAUUUCAAAGUAAA